Molecule: long non-coding RNA, 341 nt
Filed under: Homo sapiens (human)
Lineage: Eukaryota; Metazoa; Chordata; Mammalia; Primates; Hominidae
Description: non-protein coding LINC01550:16
Source: RNAcentral
ACAGGGCGAGGCGGGGGCAGGACCUGGGACCCAGCCACCCCGGAGGAAACCGGAGAGGAAACCAGCUUGGUCUUGCUCUCUGCCUCGUCCCAAUCCCCGGCUCUUACCAAAUGCAGGUGCAGUCUCCUCAGAACUACAAAGCAAGAAAAGAUCACCUUUGGGCUCAGGAACUCACAGUCGUUCUCCCUCUCCCGGAAGGCACAAUGACCAGGACAGUACCGAGCUUUACAGCCAUAUUGAACUCACCAUCAACUCAGCACAUUCAACUCAAUCAGUCAAAAUCGUCUUUUCCUGCUGGUAAAUAACACUGAAAUUGUGGGAAGAUGGGAUGGUAAGAACAA